AUGGACGACGGCGCAAGACCGGCGCCCAACCACAAGAGGCACCUCCCACUGCAGGAGGCGGGCGGCGAGCUCGUGGAGCUGCUGUGGCAGGACGGGGCCAUCGUAGCGCAGGCGCAGGCCCAGACGCCGCACCGGCGGUGCCCCCAGAGCGGCGCGGCCAGCGGCGUCACCGCGGAGGAUGCGUCCGCGUGGUUGAUCCCGGACGGCGGCGGCGGCGGCAGGGACCUGUACUCGCACCUCUGGCACGGCGUCGCCGACGGGGACGCGGGCGCGCUCGUGGCGGGGAGCGGCGCCGGGACGAGCUUCUGCGGGAGCAACGCGGUGACGGCGCCGGCGCUGCUGCCGUCGCCGGAGGAGGAGCCGGGCUCGUCCUCGGCGGGAGGCCAAGCGCUACUGUCUAAGAGGGGAAGGGACGAACUGGGUAGCCGCCGCGAGGAUGCCGACGACUGUGAGGCCGUCAAUGAGACCCGGCCGCAGCGGCCGGCGGCAAAGCGAAGGACUCGUGCUGCCGAGGUCCAUAACCAAUCAGAGCGGAAAAGAAGGGAUCGGAUCAACGAAAAGAUGAAAGCAUUGCAAGAACUCGUACCCCAUUGCAACAAGAGCGACAAGGCGUCCAUCCUAGACGAAGCAAUCGAGUACUUAAAGUCUCUGCAACUGCAAGUUCAGAUCAUGUGGAUGGCUACUGGGAUGGCGCCCAUGAUGUACCCUGGUGCUCACCAACUCAUGCCGCCGAUGGCCAUGGGCUUGAACUCAGCGUGCAUGCCCGCGGCGCAGAGCCUUAGCCAGCUGCAAAGAGUAGCACCGUUUAUGAACCAUCAUCUCCCAAAUCAAAUGCCUAGGGUCCAAUCUCCAGCUAUGGAUUCCCUCAAUGUGGGAAACAAUGGUGUCUGUGGUGAGCCAAGAAACCCUUUCCUGCAUCCAGGCAACACACUAACAGCAGCAUCUCAGCUGCCUGAUAUGUUUCCCUAUGCAUCUCAAAAGGCACAACAAAACCAGAAUCAUCAGUUACUGCCUAACACUGACAUGCCAGCUUCAGGACCCUGCUCGCCAUCUUUUGCUGACGGAACUGGAACAUAA
This 1077-nucleotide ribosomal RNA is filed under the name Triticum aestivum (bread wheat). RNAcentral's name for it is "partial small subunit ribosomal RNA". The record is from RNAcentral. Lineage: Eukaryota; Viridiplantae; Streptophyta; Magnoliopsida; Poales; Poaceae.